AUAUCUCUCUGUACGGGAAGGAUGAGAAGCUUCGACUAAGGUUCGAUUCGAGCGCAGCGAGAAAGCGUUGCCGCAGGCAACGACCCGAAGGGCGAAGCGCGUAGCGCUGAGUCAUCCUUCCCCCACCACCA
This 131-nucleotide small RNA is filed under the name Salmonella enterica subsp. enterica serovar Infantis. Its description in RNAcentral is "RtT sRNA". It matches the Rfam family "RtT RNA". Rfam says of the family: This family represents a bacterial cis-regulatory element known as RtT RNA. Lineage: Bacteria; Pseudomonadati; Pseudomonadota; Gammaproteobacteria; Enterobacterales; Enterobacteriaceae. RNAcentral also lists the same sequence under 10 other names. The record is from RNAcentral.